This 113-nucleotide microRNA precursor is filed under the name Orobanche cernua var. cumana. Its description in RNAcentral is "miR393a". The stretch from base 10 to 103 matches the Rfam family "mir-393 microRNA precursor family". The record is from RNAcentral. Lineage: Eukaryota; Viridiplantae; Streptophyta; Magnoliopsida; Lamiales; Orobanchaceae.
UUGGUGUGAGGUGGAGAGUUCCAAAGGGAUCGCAUUGAUCUGAUGAUUUAAAUGGAUAUUUUCUUGAAUUUUAAGAUCAUGCGAUCCCUUCGGAAUUCUCCAUUACACAGCAC